Non-coding RNA from Hordeum vulgare subsp. vulgare (domesticated barley), 125 nucleotides. NCBI's taxonomy places the organism in Eukaryota, Viridiplantae, Streptophyta, Magnoliopsida, Poales, Poaceae. The record is from Rfam.
CACAUACUCCCUCCGUCCAGAAAUACUUGUCAUAUGAAUGGAUGUAUCUAGAUGUAUUUUUGUUCUAGAUACAUCCAUUUUAAUCUAUUUGCAUGACAAGUAAUUCCGGACAGAGGGAGUAUUAG